UUGGUGGCGGGCAGCCUGCGGGCGGUGAUCAGCAAUGACUCCGCCCGUUGUGUCGGCUUGCCUCCCGGCCGCACUUUCCCCGCGGUUGACGGCAGGAACUGUUGGGACCGGACCUAAGGCUCGGGAUGAAGUUGCCGGCCCUCACGGGCUUGUAGCUCCCGGUGUCCUGGCUUCGGGCCCGACAGGUUACGAGCGGACUUGUAUAGCAAGCGACAGCCUGUUGCGGUUCGCCUCUCUCUG
Molecule: ribosomal RNA, 240 nt
Filed under: Sinodiaptomus sarsi
Lineage: Eukaryota; Metazoa; Arthropoda; Copepoda; Calanoida; Diaptomidae
Description: partial 28S rRNA
Source: RNAcentral